This 331-nucleotide ribosomal RNA is filed under the name uncultured eukaryote. RNAcentral's name for it is "partial 18S ribosomal RNA". It matches the Rfam family "Eukaryotic small subunit ribosomal RNA", at positions 1470 to 1796 of the family's 1831-position model. The record is from RNAcentral.
CCCUUAGAUGUUCUGGGCCGCACGCGCGCUACACUGACGAAGUCAGCGAGCAUGUCCUACGCCGACAGGUGCGGGGAAUCUUGUCAAACUUCGUCGUGAUGGGGAUUGAUUUUUGAAAUUCUUGAUCAUAAACGAGGAAUUCCUAGUAAGCGCAAGUCAGCAGCUUGCGUUGAUUACGUCCCUGCCCUUUGUACACACCGCCCGUCGCUACUACCGAUUGAAUGGUUUAGUGAGAUCUUCGGAUUGGCGCCACUGCAGCUCAGCAAUGGGCUUGGUGGAUGCCGAAAAGUUGAUCAAACUUAAUCAUUUAGAGGAAGUAAAAGUCGUAACA